Molecule: long non-coding RNA, 1491 nt
Filed under: Toxoplasma gondii VEG
Lineage: Eukaryota; Apicomplexa; Conoidasida; Eucoccidiorida; Sarcocystidae
Source: RNAcentral
UGCCGGUUGAGGCUCAGUUGCCAACCUUCCUUGCAAAUCAUUUCCUACGGACACUGUUUUUCUUUGAAACACACCGUCUGCACUCCGUUCUCAGAGAGACAUACUCAAAAUGUCAGUAAACGAUUUAUUCAGACGUAUAACACGGUUGGAUGUGCCAGUUCCGCCAGGGGGACCAUACGACAAAAUCAUCUAUUUCGUUCUAGGCAUACUGAACUGCUUCAUAUUCGGACUGGGAAUGGUCAUUAUCGGUUUCCUGCAGAAUGAUGCAGUGAAUGUGUUCAUUGGUGUGCUGCAGCUUUUGCUGCCGUUUGUUGGUUGGAUUUGGGGUUUGCUUUGGGGUAUUCUUAUCUCCAUUAGGGCCAUCAUCACCUGAGGCGGACUGAAAUUUCUUGAAAAGGGUUCCGGUACUGGCGCACUACAGUAGACAAUGGGGUCGGAUUAAUAGUAUGCUUAAUGCAUUUAAUGACCAGAGCAUGCUUUUGGCAGUCGACGCCCUAAUGGACAACGAGUUGGCCUCAUUACGCGUUGGGUGCCGCGCGCGGUGAGAGUUUUUUCGUGCGGUACCUUGAUGCCUGUGCCAUGGUGUAGAAAACAGCGCGACUUCGGGGGCAUCAGCCACCGUUUUGUGUAAAAGUGCAAGUCGACGAAUGGGUAUCUUACUGAAUGCAAAGACGUGUUUUGCUGAUAUUGUUGUGCACUGUUUAGUUUCUUGAACCCCCUCAGCUUUGUCUCUCGUGCUGUUGACGUUCUGCCGAUAAAGACUAAUCGAGUUUUCUCCUGGUAUACCUCAUGCAGCCAACCAGCUGACCAGAAAACUAUUGAGGCGAGACUAUAAAGUGGCUGGAUGUAAUUGCUCCGAGUUGCUUGCGGAGUCGUUCUAAACCGUUGACAUCAAUGAGCAAAACUGAUGUGGGUGCCACGGCCACGCACCGUUUUUGCGUCGCUAACGUUUCUGUUCGUUGCUAGGACCGGUGAAUGGCAGGACUACCUAGAAAAGGUUAAAGGACACGUUUAUGCUAGGGAGCACAAUAGGCAUUCAAAAGAUGAACUACAGCCAUUCUCAGGUCCGCGUCCCUUAGGAGAUACGGCAGACUCAGGUGAGCUCCGCCCAACCUCAAAGUGUCAGCGUGCCGAUCGCCGCCUGGUCACCAGACGCUGUAUCAAAUUCUAUACAGAUGCGCUCAGGGAGUCGUGUAUUCAUUGGCAAAUCAGAACGUCAGAAAAAAGCGCAACCAAUACAAUCGACCAUGCCUUCUAGCCCCCGAAAGACGGUCUAGUGGGCCAGCAGUGUUAGGACAUACUUUUAUCCGCUCCUCAGUCGGAAAACUGUUGCAGAUGGUGCACGUAACGCUUGGGGGUGUAUUACACAUGAUAUUGAAUGAACCAAUAAGCUCAGGACCUACCGCCGUUCAGUCACAGCAGUCCCGAUGUAGUGAAUCAUUCGCGAUACAUAUGCUUUUAGCGACUCCUUUUGUGUAAUUGUGACGCGAC